CAUGUCUAAGUAUAAAUAGUAUACAGUGAAACUGCGAAUGGCUCAUUAAAACAGUUAUAGUUUAUUUGAUAAUUGAAUUAUACAUGGAUAACCGUGGUAAUUCUAGAGCUAAUACAUGCAGCAAAACCUGACAUUAGGGUCGUAUUUAUUAGAUAUCAAACCAAUAUUCCUUCUGGUCUAUUGUGAUGAUUCAUAAUAACUGAUCGAAGCUUAGCUAGGCUAAGCUAAAUCAUUCAAGUUUCUGCCCUAUCAGCUUUCGAUGGUAGUUUAUUGGACUACCAUGGCAGUCACGGGUAACGGGGAAUUAGGGUUCGAUUCCGGAGAGGGAGCCUGAGAAACGGCUACCACAUCUAAGGAAGGCAGCAGGCGCGUAAAUUACCCAAUCCUGACUCAGGGAGGUAGUGACAAGAAAUAACAACUCGGGGCCUCACGGCUUACGAGAUUGCAAUGAGAACAAUUUAAAUCUCUUAUCUAGGAACAAUUGGAGGGCAAGUCUGGUGCCAGCAGCCGCGGUAAUUCCAGCUCCAAUAACGUAUAUUAAUGUUGUUGCAGUUAAAAAGCUCGUAGUUGAAUUUCUGGUUUCGAUAUUAGCUGGCUUCGGUCGUUGAUAUCGAUAUCAUCCGUGAGAGAACUGUAGCCGUCCUUAACUGGUCACUGCAGAGAUCUCACAUUUUACUUUGAAAAAAUUAGAGUGUUUAAGGCAGAUUAUCGUCAUGAAUACUAUAGCAUGGAAUAAUGGAAUAGGACUUUAGUUCAUUUUAUUGGGUUAUUGAACUUUAGUAAUGAUUAACAGGGACAGUUGGGGUCAUUUGUAUUUAAAUGUCAGAGG
Molecule: ribosomal RNA, 829 nt
Filed under: eukaryotic picoplankton environmental sample
Lineage: Eukaryota
Description: SSU rRNA
Rfam family: Eukaryotic small subunit ribosomal RNA
Source: RNAcentral